RNAcentral lists this long non-coding RNA (1493 nucleotides) under Rattus norvegicus (Norway rat). RNAcentral's name for it is "long non-coding RNA NONRATT018804". The record is from RNAcentral. Lineage: Eukaryota; Metazoa; Chordata; Mammalia; Rodentia; Muridae.
GUCGAGACGUUGCAGGCUGAGGUUCAGGAACUGGAAAAGCAGCGGGAAAUGCAGAAGGCUGCUCUGGAGCUGCUCUCCCUGGACCUGAAGAAGCGCAGUCGGGAGGUAGACCUGCAACAGGAACAGAUUCAGGAGCUAGAACAAUGCAGGUCUGUCUUGGAACACCUUCCCAUGGCCGUCCAAGAGCGGGAGCAGAAGCUGAGUGUGCAGCGGGACCAGAUCAGAGAACUGGAGAAUGACCGGGAGGCCCAGAGGACUGCCUUGGAACACCAGCUUCUGGACCUUGAGCAGAAGGCUCAAGUGAUUGAGUCCCAGAGGGGACAGAUUCAGGAUCUGAAAAAGCAACUGGGGACACUGGAGUGCCUGGCCCUGGAACUGGAGGAAAGCCAUCGCAAAGUGGAGGGCCAGCAGAAGGUGAUCACAGAACUGGAGGGCCAGAGGGAACUGCAGAGGGUGGCUCUAACCCACCUCACACUGGACCUGGAAGAACGGAGCCAGGAGCUGCAGACACAAAGCAGCCAGCUCCAUGAGCUGGAGAACCAUAGCACCCGUCUGGCAAAAGAGCUGCAGGAGAGGGACCAGGAGGUGAUGUCUCAACGCCAGCAGAUUGAGGAGCUACAAAAGCAGAAAGAACAGCUGACUCAGGACCUAGAGAGGAAAGGCCAAGAGCUGGUGCUGCAGAAGGAAAGGAUUCAGGUUCUGGAAGAUCAGAGGACGCUGCAGACCAAGAUCUUAGAAGAGGACCUAGAACAGAUCAAGCAUUCCCUGAGAGAACGUGGCCAGGAGCUGGCCUCUCAGUGGCAGCUGAUGCAGGAGCGGGCAGAGGAUGGAAAGAGCCCGAGUAAAGCCCAGCGAGGGAGCCUGGAGCAUUUGAAGCUGAUCCUGCGUGAUAAGGAGAAGGAGGUGGAGUGCCAGCAGGAGCGCAUCCAGGAACUUCAGGAGCACAUGGGCCAGCUGGAACAGCAGCUCCAGGGGCUGCACAGGAAGGUGGGUGAGACGAGCCUGCUCCUGACCCAUCGAGAGCAAGAGACGGCAACCCUGCAGCAGCGCCUCCAGGAAGCCAAGGAACAGGGGGAGCUGAGAGAGCAGGUGCUUCAGGGUCAGCUGGAGGAGGCGCAGAGAGCUCUGGCCCAGAGGGACCAUGAACUAGAGGCCCUCCGGCAGGAACAGCAGCAGACCCGGGGCCAGGAGGAAAGCAUGAAGCAGAAGACAAGUGCUCUGCAGGCCGCGCUGGAGCAGGCGCAUGUGACACUGAAGGAGCGUCAGGGGGAGCUGGAAGAACACCGGGGACAGGUGCAAAGGCUCCAGGAAGAACUAAUAGUAGAGGGACGGCAGGUACGGGCCCUGGAGGAGGUGUUGGGAGACCUAAGAGCGGAGUCUCGGGAACACGAGAAGACCGUGCUGGCCCUUCAGCAACGGUGUGCUGAACAGGCCCAGGAACAUGAGGCAGAAGCCAGGACCCUGCAGGACAGCUGGCUGCAGGCCCAGGCCAC